GACGAACCGUCCAAACGUUAUUCGGAAUCACUGGGCUUACAGAGUUCGUAGGCGGUCUGGAAAGUUGGGGGUGAAAUCCCUCGGCUCAACCGAGGAACUGCGCUUGAAACUACCAGACUCGAGGGAGAUAGAGGAAAGCGGAACUGAUGGUGGAGCGGUGAAAUGCGUUGAUAUCAUCAGGAACACCGGUGGCGAAGGCGGCUUUCUGGGUCUUACCUGACGCUGAGGAACGAAAGCUAGGGGAGCGAACGGG
This 253-nucleotide ribosomal RNA is filed under the name uncultured bacterium. RNAcentral's name for it is "partial 16S ribosomal RNA". It matches the Rfam family "Bacterial small subunit ribosomal RNA", at positions 524 to 776 of the family's 1533-position model. The record is from RNAcentral.